GAUAGGGUGACUGAGAUAUUAGGUAAUAGACUGUAAAUCUAUCAAGGAGGUUUACUCCCCUGUCA
RNAcentral lists this transfer RNA (65 nucleotides) under Torleya mikhaili. RNAcentral's name for it is "tRNA-Tyr". The record is from RNAcentral. Lineage: Eukaryota; Metazoa; Arthropoda; Insecta; Ephemeroptera; Ephemerellidae.